RNAcentral lists this ribosomal RNA (246 nucleotides) under uncultured archaeon. Its description in RNAcentral is "partial 16S ribosomal RNA". It matches the Rfam family "Archaeal small subunit ribosomal RNA", at positions 752 to 1000 of the family's 1478-position model. The record is from RNAcentral.
GGGACCUGUGCGCGUUAGUGUAUCGGUGACACGAGUCACCGAGGUGCCGAAGGGAAACCGUGAAACGUGCCGCCUGGGAAGUACGGUCGCAAGGCUGAAACUUAAAGGAAUUGGCGGGGGAGCACCACAACAGGUGGAGCCUGCGGUUUAAUCGGACUCAACGCCGGGAAACUCACCGGAUAAGACAGCUGAAUGAUAGCCGGGCUGAAGACUCUGCUUGACUAGCUGAGAGGAGGUGCAUGGCAA